This 473-nucleotide ribosomal RNA is filed under the name uncultured bacterium. RNAcentral's name for it is "bacterial SSU rRNA". It matches the Rfam family "Bacterial small subunit ribosomal RNA", at positions 37 to 518 of the family's 1533-position model. The record is from RNAcentral.
UGGCGGCAUGCCUAACACAUGCAAGUCGAACGGAGCUUCGAGAGCUUGCUUUGAAAGCUUAGUGGCGGACGGGUGAGUAACGCGUGAGCAACCUGCCUUUCAGUGGGGAAUAAUAUUCUGAAAAGAGUACUAAUACCGCAUAACGUACAGAAACCGCAUGAUUUUUGUAACCAAAGAUUUAUCGCUGAGAGAUGGGCUCGCGUCCGAUUAGCCAGUUGGUGGGGUAACGGCCUACCAAAGCGACGAUCGGUAGCCGGACUGAGAGGUUGAACGGCCACAUUGGGACUGAGACACGGCCCAGACUCCUACGGGAGGCAGCAGGUGGGGGAUAUUGCGCAAGUGGGGGAAACCCUGAACCGCAGCAAUGCCGCGUGGAGGAUCGAAGGUCUUCGGAUUGUAAACUCCUUUUGUCAGGGACGAAAAAUGACGGUACCUGACGAAUAAGCUCCGGCUAACUACGUGCCAGCCGCCGC